RNAcentral lists this non-coding RNA (26 nucleotides) under Homo sapiens (human). The record is from RNAcentral. Lineage: Eukaryota; Metazoa; Chordata; Mammalia; Primates; Hominidae.
GUAUGGUGACCUCCUGGGAACAGGUC